UACGGGGGGGGCAAGCGUUGUUCGGAAUUACUGGGCGUAAAGGGCUCGUAGGUGGCCAACUAAGUCAGACGUGAAAUCCCUCAGCUUAACUGGGGAACUGCGUCUGAUACUGGAUGGCUUGAGUUUGGGAGAGGGAUGCGGAAUUCCAGGUGUAGCGGUGAAAUACGUAGAUAUCUGGAGGAACACCGGUGGCGAAGGCGGCAUCCUGGACCAACACUGACACUGAGGAGCGAAAGCCAGGGGAGCAAACGGG
RNAcentral lists this ribosomal RNA (253 nucleotides) under uncultured bacterium. RNAcentral describes it as "partial 16S ribosomal RNA". It matches the Rfam family "Bacterial small subunit ribosomal RNA", at positions 524 to 776 of the family's 1533-position model. The record is from RNAcentral.